This is a non-coding RNA of Pedobacter ginsenosidimutans, 94 nucleotides long. NCBI's taxonomy places the organism in Bacteria, Pseudomonadati, Bacteroidota, Sphingobacteriia, Sphingobacteriales, Sphingobacteriaceae. The record is from Rfam.
AAAUAAACCCGAUGGAAGCGGUAUACUUUUUGGCGAUCACCCUGAGCGGAGUCUAAGGGCAGCCAAAAAGAUACAGCGGACAGCGGGGCUACCA